RNAcentral lists this long non-coding RNA (15330 nucleotides) under Glycine max (soybean). RNAcentral's name for it is "long non-coding RNA (GMAX_LNC002288)". The record is from RNAcentral. Lineage: Eukaryota; Viridiplantae; Streptophyta; Magnoliopsida; Fabales; Fabaceae.
UUCUUUCUUUUUCCUUUUCCUUUCCUUUUUCCUUUUUCUUUUCAGUUUUCUCGGUCCAGGCCCAGAGGGGCUCUUCGUUUUUUACCCUAAUUAUGUCCUUUAAAUGCUGCAUUAAUUACUGUGCAUGUCAGAGGGAGAGAGAGAGGGCAGAGGUGAAUACGAACAGUCAGAAUACCAACAGCCUAGCCACCACGAGCCACCACUCAACAGCCCCUUUCCUCCUCCGCGAACCACCACCAUCGGCCUAGCCACCACUCAACCGCCACUCUCCUCCUCCGCGAACCACCACCAUCGGCCUAGAGCCACCACUCAGAGCCACCACGAGCCACCACUCAGAGCCACCACUCAGCGCCACCCUCCCCCUCCGUGAACCACCAACACAAGAAAAAACCAAAAUCAUCUUGCUCAUACUAUUCAUUUCCUUCCCUAGAAAUCGAAACGUUAGAACAGAAACCCACGCGAACACAGUAACCCACUCACUCACGCGGCCUAAAGCCUACACCAACCACCACCAUCAGCCGACACCCACACCCACACAACCCAAACUGUAACCGUUUCCACUCUGAAGCUUAAACGAUAACAUAAGAACAAAGGUAGUUCACUUUUUUUUUUUCUAAGAUUCAAGGCUAGAUCUAGGCUUUAUCAGUAUUGGUUUUCAAAAAAUAACGGUGGAUUUGAGAACUAGGGAAAAAAAGGAAUUCAAAACAUGUAGUUUUUUUAAAAAAGGAGGAGUUUCUUUUUCCGACGCGGCGGCGCCGCCACCCAUGGCCGGCCAGCCACUGCGCCGGUAAACAGCUUCCGGCGGUGUGUGGUUAGAGAGAGAAGAGAGCUUCUGAAGCGUUUCUUUAGAGAGAGGAAGAAAUUGGAUUUAUGUUAUUUUAGGGUUUAUUUUCGAAUUUAUACUGCUGCCAUGACCAAUACUAUGGUGCACGCGGAUCUCUGUGUCCCCAUGGACCAUCAGGGUUGAACCGUUAGAUCCUAGAUCUAACGGCCAAUGUUAUCCCCUGUUUUGAUCAGAUGCGUCUCACCUCUUGGUUUUUACUUUGUUCUUCUUCUCUUGUGACGUUUGAUUAAGAUCUAAUGGCUAAAACUGUGCCUCCCCAUGAUCAAAUCUGGACGCUUCGAUCAAUCUGACGAUUCAGAUUUGAUCUGUUAAGCCCACUUUUUAUUUUGAGCCCAUUUCCUUUUUUCUGUUCCUUCUAGUAUUUUACUUUCUGCACCCCCUUUUCUUCUCUUUUUUUUUUUUUUUUUAUUACUUUUUUUAUGCAUCAUAUUUACUUUAUGCCCUUGCAUUUUUUAUUUUCUUUAUUUAUUUUCCAGCACCAUAUCUAUUUUACGUCUUGCAUUUUAUUUUCCAGUAUCAUUUAUUUUUUGUCUUGCAUUUUUAUUUUGUUUAUUUUUAUUUUAUGCAUCAUAUUUACUUUAUGUCUUGCAUUUUUUAUUUAUUUUUAGCAUCAUGUUUAUUUUAUGUCUUGCAUUUUUAUUUUCUUUUUUUAUUUUAUUUCCAGCAUUAUAUUUAUCUUUAUGUCUUGCAUUUUUUUUUAUUUAUUUUUAGCAUCAUGUUUAUUUUAUGUCUUGCAUUUUUAUUUUCUUUUAUUUUAUUUCCAGCAUUAUAUUUAUCUUUAUGUCUUGCAUUUUUUAUUUAUUUUUAGCAUCAUGUUUAUUUUAUGUCUUGCAUUUUUAUUUUCUUUUAUUUAUUUCCAGCAUCAUAUUUAUUUUUAUGUCUUGCGUUUUAUUUUCUUUAUUUAUUUUAUGCACCAUAUGUAUUUAUUGUUUUGUAUUUCAUGCAUUUUAUUAUUUCUUCUAGCAUAUUUAUUUUAAUGCAUUUGAAAUUUUUAUUUAUUAUUGUCAAUUAGAAUGUAUCUAGGUCCAAUGUAAAUAAAAAUAAAAAUGAGAAUCUGCACCGACACUCACAUUUAUUUUUAUGUUUUCCGCCGAGGACGAUCAUGUGAUUUGAACCGUAUCCGAGGAAAAGGGCCCUCACUUGAUCCAACGUCAUUUUAAGGGAUCCGGCGCGUUUAGACUUAUCUCCGUAUAACUAAAAAAAAAAAAAAAAGAGAGUCAAACAAAAAAACCAAAAAAAAACUUUCCAUAAUCGAAAUUUCAAAAAAAGGGUCAAUCUUUAUCCUUUCUUUCUUAAUCAAAUCUUUAAUCAACCUUUAAUCAAUCUAACUUUUUUUUCAAUUUAAAAUCAAUCGAACUCACUUCUUUUAUUUCUUCUAUGCCUUUUCGGCCUCUUAUCUUGCCUAAACUCUUCUUUUUUUCGAACUUUAAAAUCAAUCAAAACCAAUCACUUGACUUUCUACCCCGAACUACAUGAUUUUGAUCCCAUUCGGGUAUGUAGGCAAAAGACUUUGUCUUUCCAAAUCAAUAAAAAUAACAAAAACAUUUCUUUUCCUUUCCCUCGAACCUAUCUCUUUAAUCUUUUCACACUUGAGCAUUUAUUUCAAAACAAAUAAUUAAUUUAGCAUAAAGAUAAAAUAAGCAAGAGGUUCCUAUAGAGUACUAUAGACGUUUAGGGUGCUAGUACCUUCCCUUUGCGUAACCAACCCCCGGACCUUUGAUCUCUCAAAAAUAGGGUUUUUUCGAGCUUUCUCCCUUUUCUUCGGAAAAAUAAAAGAUCGGUGGUGAUCUUAAAUUGCGAGUCAAUGCUAAUCAAUAGCUUGAUAUCCAAAAAUCACCGCGACAGAAAAAUGGCGACUCCACUGGGGAUCACACUCCUAAGUGGGUUAAACCUAUCUUGUUUUUCUUCAUCUUUAUGCUUUAUUAUUAUUUGAAACUGUAAAUACGUGCCUAAGUGUUUAUCUUUUACGUGAGUGGUGAGAUAAGUCCUACACCCGGACUUGAGGGAAACAUAAGAUAGGAUGGUGGUAUAAUCAUAGUGUCUUUCCGAGAGUGAGUUUCGGAUGUGGCACAUGUGAUAACCCCGCUCAAUGGAGGGAUCUUGGGAAUAUUACUAUGUUGGCAUGAGUAGUCGUGUUCAGCAUUAAUAUUUCCAAGCGACCUAUGAAGUUGAGGACCUUUAGUUACCUUUAACCCAUCUUAGCCUUUUAGGACGUAGUGCGGUGGCUAAUCAAGAGUAGUCUUGAAUUGGUUGAUACGCGAUACUACACUCAAACGAGGCUUUCCUAUGGACGUUGUUGGACCGGGAGUAGUCCCGUAAUCCGACAAUAUCCGGAAGUGGUCAAUGACUUUGGGAACUUGGUAGAACCCGUGAUACAGGUACAUAUGAAACCAUAGUCCUUACCAAAUGGCGUGUUUACCCUUAACUCCAACAUUUUGGACUUAACUUCACCAUGUUUUCUCCAUACUGUGGCAUAAUCAUGCAUACAUGCAUCCAUGCAUAAACUCUUUUUUUUCAUCCAAAUUAUCGAAGGACUUAGACAAGCUUUUUGUAAACUUUGUAGAUAUGGACAUCCCACUGAGAAGCACUAGGAAGUACCUUUUCAAAAAAACAGACCUGUUGAGAUUAAGGGAGCUAGCAUCUUUAGUAAGUGAUCCAGUUGAUUUUCAAGCUCAUCAUGGGAAGUUGCUCAGAAUUCUUAGAGUAGAUGUUGAGGAAGGAUGCCUAGAGACCCUGGUUCAGUUCUAUGACCCGCUCUACCAUUGCUUCACAUUUCCCGAUUACCAGCUUGUCCCCACACUUGAAGAGUACUCCUACCUAGUUGGUUUACCCGUACCAGACAAGAUACCUUUCCAUGGUUUUGAGCCUACCCCUAAACCCUCCGACAUCGCAGCCGCCCUCCAUCUUAAAACCUCUAUCAUCCAAGCAAACCUUACCUCUAAAGGAGGCCUCCAAGGUCUUCCCACCCACUUCCUCUACCAACAAGCCUCCAUAUUUGCUGAAGCAGCUAGUAUACUUGCCUUCCAUUCUAUCCUAGCCCUCCUUAUAUAUGGCCUUUUACUCUUCCCAAAUAUUGACAACUUCAUCGAUAUCAAUGCCAUUAAGAUCUUUCUUACAAAGAACCCCGUACCCACUCUACUCGCCGAUACCUACCAUUCUAUCCAUGACCGUACCCAGGCUGGCCGUGGAACCAUUUCUUGUUGUGCACCUUUACUCUAUCAGUGGUUUACCUUCCACUUACCUCAAUCCCGUGCCUUCAAGACCAAUGAUGAUAAGCUUUCUUGGCCUCGCCGAAUCAUGACUCUUGACCCAUCUGACAUUGUUUGGUACCAAGCAGCUAGUGAUGUUGGAGAGAUUAUUGUGAGUUGUGGUGAAUAUCCCAACGUACCUCUUUUGGGUAUGCGUGGCGGAAUUAGCUACAACCCGCUUCUCGCUCGACGACAAUUUGGGUACCCGAUAAAGACAAAACCAAACAACUUUGCCUUGACUAAUGAAUUCUAUCUUAACCAUGGAGAUCAUUCGAACAAAAGGGAAAGAUUCGCACAAGCUUGGAGCGCUAUCCGCAGACUCAACAGAAGUCAGUUGGGAAAGAAAUCAGACUAUGUACAUGAAUCUUACACCCAGUGGGUUAUUGAUAGGACCAAGAGCUUUGGCCUACCCUACCGCUUACCUAGAUACCUAUCGUCCACCAUCCCACCAUCAUCCUUGCCUAUCCCCUUUGAUACUAAGGAAGAGUUUCAUGAACAAUUAACCAAAGAAAGGCAAGAAAAAGAAACUUGGAAGAGGAGAUGCCAGGAGCUCGAGCAAGAGAAUGAGACUUUGAAGGGGAAGAUAGCCCAACAGAGCCGUGAGCUUUUUAUCCAGAACCAGAGGAUGGUUGAGAAGGACGACUUGCUUCGUCGGAAAGACGCUUUGCUCCACCGAGAUGCUAGAAGGAAGAGGAGGUUUAUGGAUUUGUUCUCCCGUGCACAUUCAGAUUCCGAGGAUCCAUCUACUCCGGGAGUUUGAGUCUGAAGUUCUUAGGACCUUAUGUUUAGAUUUUAGCUCCCGAAAUCUCUUGACUUGUAAAAAAAAAAAAAAAAAAAAAAAAAAAAAAAAAAAAACCUAUAAUUUCUUUGUAAUAUUCCAAUGCUUAAGUGAAGUGUUUCAGUUUAUGAUGUUUACAAUUUCUCUAACAAGUUCUUCGAUAAUAAUUUGUUCCCUUUCUUUUUGCAUAAGCAUAAGCAUGCAUCAUGUUGCAUUCAUGGUUUCUAAAUCGAGUCUCACACUGUGUUCACUACUUCAAAAAGGGGGGAGUCAAUCAACCGCCGCCCAAGGAAAGUGGCCCGACGAAUUCUCCACAAACCAACUCGCAUUUACAACACCAGGGCCAAUCGGAAGAGGAUGGAUAUAGUUGAACAAGAAAAUCAGAGUCUCAGGGAGGAGGUUGCCACUUUACGAGAGGGAAUGGAUAGGUUGACGACCAUGAUGAGUGCACUCCUGUCAGCCCAGAACUCUCAAGCUGCCGCCGCUGCUGUAGAGCAGCCUUUGGUGAGCACAACCCCGCUAUCUACGGUGACUUCUCCACCCCUCUUUUUGCCUCCAGGUUGUACAUGGGGAAUGCCACCUCCAGUCUGUGGAAGCUCCCAGCCCGCUGUAUCUGAAGCUCCACCUCCUUUUGCUCAGCAAUCAGCACCGGUUCCGCAACCCAGUACCUCUUUCCCUCAAGCUGCAAUGACUUAUUCAGCUCCACUGAUUCACACUAUUCAACAAGAGGUUGAACCAAUUUUCCAAGCUGAAAAUGUUGUAGCCUUCGACAAGAUGGAAGAACUCCAAGAAAGAUUUGAUGGUAUGCAAAGGGAAGUCGAAGCCCUCCGAGGAAGAGAUCUGUUCGGGAAGGACGCCUGUGAAUUAUGCUUGGUCCCAAAUGUUACUAUCCCUCACAAGUUCAAGGUGCCAGACUUCGAGAAGUAUAAAGGGAACUCUUGUCCCCGCAGUCACUUGGUGAUGUACGCGCGGAAAAUGUCCAUGUAUACUGACAAUCAUAAGCUGCUUAUUCAUUUCUUUCAGGACAGCCUGACUGGGGCCGCUCUGAAGUGGUAUAUGAAUUUGGACAGUGCGAGCAUUCGUACUUUCAAUGACCUGGGUGAAGCGUUCAUCCGGCAGUAUAAGUACAAUUUGGACAUGGCCCCAGAUCGUGAUCAGCUCCGUGCGAUGACACAAAAAGAGAAGGAAACGUUCAAGGAGUAUGCCCAGCGUUGGAGGGAAGUGGCUGCCCAGAUUGUCCCGCCGUUGGAAGAAAGGGAAAUGACCAAAAUAUUUCUGAAGACCCUGAGCCAGUUUUAUUACGAGAAAAUGGUUGCAAGUGCACCAACAGACUUCACUGAAAUGGUCAACAUGGGUGUGCGAUUAGAGGAAGGUGUCCGAGAGGGACGUUUGGCUGUGGAAAGUACCCCUGCCGCAAGUAAUGCCAAGAAGUUUGGAGGCCACUUUGCGAAGAAGAAAGAUCAAGAGGUGGGAAUGGUAGCUCAUGGUAAGCCUCAGCAGAAUUUCACCCCAUAUCGUCAGGUUGCGAAUGUCGCAUCCACUAUCCCAAACCCAUCAUAUCACCAACAAAGGCCACAUUACCCCUACCCGUACCCUCCACAACAAUACCCUCCACAACAAUACCCUCCACAACAAUACCCUCCACAACAAUACCAUCAGCCACAAUACCCUCAAAAACAACAAAAUCGCCCGCAGACCCCCCAACAACCAUAUCAUUCACAAAACCGUAUCAUUCACAAAACCGCCAGAAAACAACCUUUGAUCCAAUCCCGAUGAAAUAUGCUGACUUACUCCCCGCCCUGCUCGCCAAAAACCUUGUCCAGGUCAGAACACCCCCUCGUACACCAGAUGUUUUACCUCCCUGGUUUCGUCAUGAUUUAACCUGCGCUUUCCACCAAGGGGCCCCAGGUCAUGACGUUGAAAACUGCUAUGUCCUGAAGAAUGAAGUGCAAAAACUAGUCCGGGCCAACUUGCUAUCCUUCAAAGAUCAGAAUCCCAAUGUUCAGGCGAACCCUCUGCCGAACCAUGGGCCUGCUGUCAACAUGAUACAAGAUUGUGAUGAAGACGGUGUCAUCCUGAACGUCCAGCACGUCCGAACUCCCCUGGUCCCAAUACAUAUCAAGAUGUGCGAGGCAGCUCUGUUUGACCAUGAUCAUGCAGCGUGUGAAAUAUGUCCUGUGAAUGUAAAAGGAUGCCCGAAGGUACAAGAGGACAUACAAAGGCUGAUAGACAAUAGAGAACUAAUCAUCACGAGGAAGGACAAGGAAGUGUGCGUCAUCACCCCUGAGUUUCAGCGGUUGGAAAUAAGCUAUAACAGUGGGGAAUCAACUACUACUCCACUGGUGAUUAGCUUGCCAGGACCUAUGCCGUAUGCUUCUCUAAAAGCGGUCCCUUACAAGUAUAGUGCCACGAUGUUGGAAGGUGGGCAGGAGGUGCCUUUGCCCUCUCUAACUCCUGCGAUUUCUGUGGACAACAUUGCUAGUGACGGUAAAGUUCUAAGGAAUGGACGUGUUAUCCCCACAUUGUUUGCAAAGAAAGUGAAUGAUCCGGCAGUUAAACAGGCGACAGUGAAUGGCCCCGGUACAAGGAAGGAAGUAGGCCAAUCCAAUGGGACUAGCAAGAAUUCUGAUCAUGACGAGAUUCUGAAACUGAUCCAGAAGAGUGAGUAUAAAGUAGUAGACCAGUUGUUGCAAACUCCCUCUAAGAUAUCCAUUUUGUCUCUGCUAUUGAACUCAGAAGCACACCGUGAGGCUCUAAUGAAAGUGUUGGACCAAGCUUUUGUGGAGAGGGACGUGACUGUUAAUCAAUUGGACAGUAUAGUAGGAAACAUUACUGCCUGCAAUAAUUUAAGUUUUAGUGAUGAAGAGCUUCCUGAGGAGGGGAGGAACCACAAUCUGGCGUUACAUAUAUCGGUGAACUGCAAGUCUGAUGCUUUGUCGAAUGUACUUGUGGACACUGGUUCCUCAUUGAAUGUAAUGGCCAAAUCCACAUUAGACCAACUUUCCUACCGGGGGCCUCCCAUGAGAAGAAGCGGGGUGGUUGUCAAAGCGUUUGAUGGAUCAAGAAAGUCUGUUAUCGGGGAGGUUGAUUUGCCCGUUACAAUUGGGCCGUUUGUUUUCCAAAUUACAUUCCAGGUGAUGGAUAUCCAAGCCGCAUACAGUUGCCUUUUGGGUAGGCCAUGGAUCCAUGAAGCUGGGGCCGUGACAUCCACCUUGCAUCAAAAGCUGAAGUUUGUCAGAAAUGGGAAAUUGAUCACUGUGAGUGGAGAGGAAGCCUUGUUGGUUAGUCAUUUGUCAGCUUUUUCCUUUAUUGGUGCUGAUGAAACAGAAGGAACCUCUUUCCAAGGCCUGACUUUAGAGGGUAAAAAGCCAGAGAAAAAUGAAGUAUCUUUUGCUACUUGGAAGAGCGCACAGAAAGUGGUGCAGGAAGGAACAGGUGUAGGAUGGGGAAAAGUUGUGCAGUUGCUGGAGAGUAAAAACCGUGAAGGACUGGGAUUUGCUUCUUCUGCAGGAUCCGCAACGAACAGUGUUGGAUCAAGCUCCAUUACUAGCACCUUUUGUAGCGCCGGGUUCAUCAACAACUCGCCAGAAGCCAAUGCUGUCUUGGAAGAUGCUCCUGAAGAGAUAGUGCUUGCAUUUGUCACACCUGGAAAACUUGUUCGCAACUGGGACGCGGUUGACAUCCCUUCAGUGGUUCAUGCAUCAAAGUAAUGUGUCUUUGUUUUUCUGUUUGUUUGUUUUUCAAAAAAGGAUCCUUUCGUCUUGCCCAGGACGAAAGCGCAAUUAUGUAGGGCUGUUUUGUUUCAAGCACUACUCUUAUUAAUGGAAAAUGUGGUUUAUCCCGAUAUCUAUGCUUAUUGCUCUUUCUGGAAAAUGGUAACACAAAAAACCCAAAAUAUUUUAUUUUUGUUUUCUGAUUUCAAUUAAUUAUAAAAAGUCCGCAUUGUUCACUCAUUUUCUAAAAUCAAUCAUCAAUCAUAUGCAGACUAGGCAUUUAUGAGCCCGUUGAACAUAAUAACCCUGCACCCUCUCCCAACUACGAAUCUCCUGUCUACGAGGCUGAAGAGGAGGAGGAUGAUGAAAUCCCGAAGGAACUUGCUCGGUUAUUGGAAUAUGAAAAGAAAACCAUUCGGCCUCAUGAGGAGGUAGUAGAGGUGAUUAACUUGGGAACCGAGGAAGAUAAGAAGGAAGUCAAGAUUGGGGCAUCGCUUGAGGCAACUGUCAAACGAAGGGUGAUUGAAUUACUCAAAGAAUACGUCGAUGUGUUCGCAUGGUCGUACCAAGAUAUGCCCGGCUUGGAUCCCCGUAUUGUGGAGCACCGUUUGCCUUUGAAGCCCGAAUGCCCACCGGUCAAACAGAAACUGAGAAGAACUCGCCCUGACAUGGCUCUCAAGAUCAAAGAGGAAGUACAGAAGCAGAUCGAUGCAGGUUUUCUUGUCACAUCAGAGUAUCCCCAAUGGUUAGCCAACAUAGUGCCUGUUCCAAAGAGGGACGGCAAGGUCAGGAUGUGCGUUGACUACCGGGAUUUGAACAAGGCUAGUCCGAAAGAUGACUUUCCUCUACCUCACAUCGAUGUAUUGGUUGACAGCGCUGCAAAGUCCAAGGUCUUCUCCUUCAUGGACGGUUUCUCUGGGUACAAUCAGAUCAAGAUGGCAGUUGAAGAUAGAGAAAAGACAUCUUUCAUCACGCCUUGGGGCACCUUUUGUUACAGGGUAAUGCCUUUUGGGUUGAUAAAUGCAGGUGCCACUUACCAAAGAGGCAUGACCACUCUCUUUCAUGACAUGAUGCACAAAGAGAUAGAAGUGUACGUGGAUGAUAUGAUUGUCAAGUCAGGCACUGAAGAAGAACAUGUCGAGUACUUGCUGAAGAUGUUUCAACGGCUGAGAAAGUACCAACUUCGACUGAAUCCCAACAAAUGUACCUUUGGUGUUAGAUCUGGAAAACUCUUAGGUUUCUUUGUCAGUCAGAAAGGUAUUGAAGUAGAUCCUGACAAGGUCAGGGCCAUUAGAGAAAUGCCGGUUCCACAAACAGAGAAACAAGUGAGAGGUUUUCUUGGGCGUCUAAAUUACAUUUCUCGUUUCAUCUCGCACAUGACAGCCACGUGCGGACCUAUAUUCAAGUUGCUUCGAAAAGAUCAAGGGGUUGUUUGGACCGAAGAUUGUCAAAAGGCUUUUGAUAGUAUCAAGAAUUAUCUGCUAGAACCUCCAAUUCUUAUACCUCCAAUUGAAGGAAGGCCUCUGAUUAUGUACUUGACUGUGUUAGAAGAUUCUAUGGGCUGUGUGCUCGGACAACAGGAUGAGACCGGAAGGAAAGAACAUGCCAUCUACUACUUGAGCAAGAAGUUUACAGAUUGUGAGUCCAGGUACUCCCUACUUGAGAAAACUUGUUGUGCACUAGCCUGGGCUGCCAAGCGUCUUCGUCACUACAUGAUUAACCACACCACCUGGCUAAUAUCCAAAAUGGACCCGAUCAAGUAUAUCUUUGAGAAACCCGCUCUGACAGGAAGAAUUGCUCGUUGGCAGAUGUUGUUAUCCGAGUAUGAUAUCGAAUACCGCACCCGGAAAGCAAUUAAGGGAAGUGUUCUUGCUGAUCAUUUGGCUCACCAACCAAUUGAGGACUAUCAACCCAUCAAGUUUGACUUUCCUGAUGAAGAGAUUAUGCACUUGAAGAUGAAGGAUUGUGAUGAACCAUUGCUUGGAGAAGGUCCAGAUCCCGAGUCUAGAUGGGGUUUGAUUUUUGAUGGAGCCGUGAAUGUCUUUGGCAAUGGAAUUGGGGCAGUUAUUAUCACUCCUGAAGGUAAUCAUCUCCCUUUCGCUGCAAGGUUACAGUUCGAUUGCACCAACAAUAUGGCAGAAUAUGAAGCAUGUAUCUUGGGCAUUGAAAAAGCCAUUGACUUGAAAAUCAAGAACCUUGACAUUUACGGGGAUUCAGCUCUCGUAAUCAACCAAAUCAAAGGAGAAUGGGAAACUCGCCACCCCGGCUUGAUUCCAUACAAAGAUUAUGCGAAGCAUUUGCUAACCUUCUUCAACAAAGUGGAGCUUCACCACAUCCCUCGUGAUGAGAACCAGAUGGCAGAUGCGUUAGCAACUUUAUCCUCCAUGUACGAAGUGAGUCACCGGAACAAUUUGCCAACAAUCAGAAUUCAGCGCCUCGAGAGGCCCGCCCACGUGUUUGCAGUCGAAGAGGUUGUUGAUGAUAAGCCCUGGUUCCAUGAUAUCAAGUGUUUCCUUCAAAGCCAGGAAUAUCCACCCGAAGUAUCCAACAAAGACAGGAGAACUUUGAGAAGAUUGUCUGGUAAUUUCUUCCUAAAUGGGGAUGUUUUGUACAAAAGAAACUUUGACAUGGUACUACUCAGGUGUGUAGAUAAGCAAGAAGCAGAAUUUUUGAUGCAUGAGAUACAUGAAGGCUCCUUUGGUACUCACUCCAAUGGACAUGCAAUGGCUAGGAAGUUGUUGAGAGCAGGUUACUACUGGAUGUCGAUGGAAACAGAUUGUUGCAAGCAUGCCAGGAAGUGCCACAAAUGCCAGAUUUAUGCUGACAGAAUUCAUGUACCACCAACUACACUUAAUGUUCUUUCUUCUCCGUGGCCCUUCUCUAUGUGGGGCAUCGAUAUGAUUGGUAGAAUCGAACCGAAGGCUUCAAACGGGCAUCGUUUCAUUCUAGUGGCUAUUGAUUACUUCACCAAGUGGGUUGAAGCAGCAUCUUAUGCAAAUGUGACUAAGCAAGUUGUGGUCCGCUUUAUCAAGAAUCAGAUCAUCUGCCGUUAUGGUGUGCCCAACAGAAUCAUUACAGAUAAUGGAACGAACUUGAAUAACAAGAUGAUGAAAGAUUUGUGUGAAGAGUUCAAGAUUGAGCAUCACAAUUCCUCUCCUUACAGACCUCAGAUGAAUGGCGCAGUUGAAGCUGCAAACAAGAAUAUCAAGAAGAUAGUGCAGAAGAUGGUGGUCACAUACAAAGACUGGCAUGAGAUGCUACCGUAUGCUUUGCAUGGGUAUCGUACUUCAGUGCGUACUUCAACAGGGGCAACCCCCUUCUCUUUGGUGUAUGGUAUGGAAGCAGUACUCCCUGUGGAGGUUGAGAUUCCAUCGAUGAGAGUUCUAAUGGAGGCCCAGUUAUCAGAAGCUGAAUGGUGCCAAAGCAGAUAUGAUCAGUUGAAUCUAAUUGAAGAAAAACGCAUGAAAGCCUUGUGCCACGGACAACUUUAUCAACAGAGGAUGAAGCAGGCUUUCGACAAGAAGGUUCGUCCUCGUGUGUUUCAAGAAGGAGAUCUUGUUCUCAAGAAGGUUUUAUCUUUCCAACCCGACUCUAGGGGCAAGUGGACGCCUAAUUACGAAGGCCCAUAUGUCGUCAAGAGAACUUUCUCUGGUGGUGCACUGACUCUUACAACUAUGGAUGGGGAUGAGCUCCCUCGUCCCGUGAAUGCGGAUGCAGUCAAGAAAUACUUUGUCUAAAAAUAAAAGAACAGCUCGGUAAGUCGAAAACCCGAAAGGGCGGCUUAGGCAAAAAUGAGCGUCUCGGUGGGUCGAAAACCCGAAAGGGCGGCCCAGGCAAAAAUUAGAGACAUCAAACAAAAAAAUAAUUAGCCUGAUAGGUCGAAAACCCGAAAGGGCGAUCUAUGCAAAAGUUAAAGAUCAAAAGACAAAGUAACUGCAUCGAGAUGAUCUUUGUUCAUUUGGGGCACAAUGGAAUGUCAGGGAGACCCUGAAUCUGAAGCAUCCAAACAGUGGAAUUCAAGGUUGUCAGAGGGAACAACGGUUAUUGUGUUCAAUGAACCUUCAACUUAUAUUUACCAUUUUCCAAAACUUUGUAAGAUCAGUGGAGCCAUGCCAUUGGCAGGUCAUCACUCUUUCAAAUAAAUUUGAGCCUGUUGCCUUUCAUUUGGAAUUCUCAUUUAUUCAGCUUAUAAAACCUUUCCUUUUUUAUGGUAGCAUUUGAAACAAAAUAUUUCUCAAAAUCAUAAAUUUUCUUUCAUGUCUUUUUUGAGAAGCACAAACAACAAAACACUUUUUCUUUGAACUCGUGAAUAGAUGAAGGGUGUGUCAACAGCUACCAUGAGAAUGGGUAAACCUUGCAGGUUGCACGUGGUCAAUUGCUUUUGUUUUCUAAAAAAAAAAAAAAAAAAAAUAAAUAAUAAUAAUAAUAAUAAUAAGCAUGACCACAGAAGCACCAGCUCUUCUACCAUGUAUUUUGGGAUUGGCACGUUCUCCCAAGAAAUGUUUAUUCCCCAUCAGUUGCUGCAUACGCCGGGCUUUACCCCGUCACUAUUUUGAUACACCCUGGUGGCAUCAUCCCCAUUGAAGAUUGCCAAGUGUUUGUGAUGCGACGUCGGGUCACUUUCCAUCUUACCUGUCCAAUCUUGUUCCAUCAAAUCUAUCAUUCACACAAUCAUACAAGUCAAUCCUCCAUACAGUCAUACAAGUCGUGUCGUCAUUCAGGCAUUCAUACAUAUACACAUUCAUGCAUAUACAAUAAAGACAAUAUCAUGCGUACAUGGCUGCAUUAACCAUCAUGAGUCUUGCUUCAUUUAUCUUUUCAUUUCAAUCAAUCAUGAAUAAUUUGUAACCUUCUAUUUCCCCGAGUGUCAUCCCCAAUGGGUCUGAUCCAAAGGUGUCACCCUCUCUCCGCCAAGUGGCAAUUUCUUUAAUGAACAGCUUGUGCAUCAUUUGCCUCUGUUUCAUGUCAUCAGUUGGCUAGUUCGGCAAUAACCUGAACAGUUGACAUUCAUCUUUGUUUUUUGUCAAUUGACUAGUUCAGCAAUAACCUGAACAGUUGACAUUUAUCUUUGUCUUUUUGUCAGUUGACUAGUUCGGCAAUAACCUGAACAGUUGACAUCUAUCUUUGUUUCUUGUCAAUUGACUAGUUCGGCAAUAACCUGAACAGUUGACAUUUAUCUUUGUUUCUUAUCAGUUGGUUAGUUCAGCAAUAACCUGAACAGUUGACAUUUAUCUUCAAUUCUUGUCAGUUGAUCAGUUCAGCAAUAACCUGAACAGUUGACAUCUAUCUUUGUUUCUUAUCAGUUGAUUAGUUCGGCAAUAACCCGGACAGUUGAUAUGUAUCUUUGUUUUUGUCAGAUUGGCUAGUUCGGCAAUAACCCGAACAGUUGACAUUUAUCUUUGUUCCUUAUCAGUUGGCUAGUUUGGCAAUAACCCGAACAGCUGACAUUUACCCCCAGUAAAACCAUGUGAUCCCCAGUCGGACCCCUUUUCUUUAACAAAAUCGGGUACCAUUUGGUUUUGUUAUUCCCAGUCAAGCCAUUUACCUCGUCUUGCAUUCAUACUUGCAUCGCAAGCAUUCGCAACAUUACGUGCAUAACAGUGCAUUCAUAGCAUUUUGUAGUUGAAAUUGGUCAAAAAUGGUGUACUCUGUAUUUAAAUCUCUUCGACCCGUCGCUUUAAAAGUUUCACUUUUAAAUCUCCGUAACGAAGAGACUUAAAUAGGGGCAUCUGUCAUACCCCAUUUUUGACCCGUUUUUAUUUCUUUUUUCUUGUCUUUUAAGCCGGAAAUUUCCAUCAUUUCAGAUGAAAUUUCGGCAGGGAGGUAUUUUAAAAUACCUCAAUUUUGUUUUGAAGACGCCCCUUUUUAUUAUUAUUUAUUUAUUUACCUUUUUUUAUUAUUAUUAUUUUUAUUUUUUUAGUUAUUAUUUUCUUCUUUUCUUUUCCUUUUAUUAAGUGUUUUUUUUAUUUCCGUUUUUUUAUUAAUAUCUUUAUUAGUAUCUUCUUUUCGUUUUUUUUAUUUUUUUAUUAUUAUUAUUAUUUUUUUUUUUAUUUAUUUUUAUUUUAUUUUAUUUUGCUGUUUUAUUUUUUUUUUUUUUUUUCUUUCUUUCUUUCUUUCUUUUUCCUUUUCCUUUCCUUUUUCCUUUUUCUUUUCAGUUUUCUCGGUCCAGGCCCAGAGGGGCUCUUCGUUUUUUACCCUAAUUAUGUCCUUUAAAUGCUGCAUUAAUUACUGUGCAUGUCAGAGGGAGAGAGAGAGGGCAGAGGUGAAUACGAACAGUCAGAAUACCAACAGCCUAGCCACCACGAGCCACCACUCAACAGCCCCUUUCCUCCUCCGCGAACCACCACCAUCGGCCUAGCCACCACUCAACCGCCACUCUCCUCCUCCGCGAACCACCACCAUCGGCCUAGAGCCACCACUCAGAGCCACCACGAGCCACCACUCAGAGCCACCACUCAGCGCCACCCUCCCCCUCCGUGAACCACCAACACAAGAAAAAACCAAAAUCAUCUUGCUCAUACUAUUCAUUUCCUUCCCUAGAAAUCGAAACGUUAGAACAGAAACCCACGCGAACACAGUAACCCACUCACUCACGCGGCCUAAAGCCUACACCAACCACCACCAUCAGCCGACACCCACACCCACACAACCCAAACUGUAACCGUUUCCACUCUGAAGCUUAAACGAUAACAUAAGAACAAAGGUAGUUCACUUUUUUUUUUUCUAAGAUUCAAGGCUAGAUCUAGG